Molecule: ribosomal RNA, 553 nt
Filed under: Pichia kudriavzevii
Lineage: Eukaryota; Fungi; Ascomycota; Pichiomycetes; Pichiales; Pichiaceae
Description: partial large subunit ribosomal RNA
Rfam family: Eukaryotic large subunit ribosomal RNA
Source: RNAcentral
CCAACAGGGAUUGCCUCAGUAGCGGCGAGUGAAGCGGCAAGAGCUCAGAUUUGAAAUCGUGCUUUGCGGCACGAGUUGUAGAUUGCAGGUUGGAGUUCUGUGUGGAAGGCGGUGUCCAAGUCCCUUGGAACAGGGCGCCCAGGAGGGUGAGAGCCCCGUGGGAUGCCGGCGGAAGCAGUGAGGCCCUUCUGACGAGUCGAGUUGUUUGGGAAUGCAGCUCCAAGCGGGUGGUAAAUUCCAUCUAAGGCUAAAUACUGGCGAGAGACCGAUAGCGAACAAGUACUGUGAAGGAAAGAUGAAAAGCACUUUGAAAAGAGAGUGAAACAGCACGUGAAAUUGUUGAAAGGGAAGGGUAUUGCGCCCGACAUGGGGAUUGCGCACCGCUGCCUCUCGUGGGCGGCGCUCUGGGCUUUCCCUGGGCCAGCAUCGGUUCUUGCUGCAGGAGAAGGGGUUCUGGAACGUGGCUCUUCGGAGUGUUAUAGCCAGGGCCAGAUGCUGCGUGCGGGGACCGAGGACUGCGGCCGUGUAGGUCACGGAUGCUGGCAGAACGGCG